UACGAAGGGGGCUAGCGUUGCUCGGAAUCACUGGGCGUAAAGGGCGCGUAGGCGGACAUUUAAGUCAGGGGUGAAAUCCCGAGGCUCAACCUCGGAACUGCCCUUGAUACUGGGUGUCUUGAGUUCGAGAGAGGUUGGUGGAACUGCGAGUGUAGAGGUGAAAUUCGUAGAUAUUCGCAAGAACACCGGUGGCGAAGGCGGCCAACUGGCUCGACACUGACGCUGAGGCGCGAAAGCGUGGGGAGCAAACAGG
Molecule: ribosomal RNA, 253 nt
Filed under: uncultured bacterium
Lineage: Bacteria
Description: partial 16S ribosomal RNA
Rfam family: Bacterial small subunit ribosomal RNA
Source: RNAcentral